This 29-nucleotide non-coding RNA is filed under the name Homo sapiens (human). The record is from RNAcentral. Lineage: Eukaryota; Metazoa; Chordata; Mammalia; Primates; Hominidae.
UCCAGGUGAAAAAUGAUGGGAGCUCAGAU